Molecule: long non-coding RNA, 559 nt
Organism: Calidris pugnax (ruff)
Lineage: Eukaryota; Metazoa; Chordata; Aves; Charadriiformes; Scolopacidae
Exons: 3
Source: RefSeq, a predicted model, not a curated record
UCUCGCAGCUCUCUUCCUCGGGAGGGAGAAGGGGAAAUAUAGCGGAUGGAGAGCGUUCUGAUACAUUCAAACCGAAGCUGUAGGCAAAGGCAACGUAUAGCGCCGCGCUAAGCUACCUAAAGUUUAUGUUUGUGCUGUAGGAAAAAAUCGUUCCCUAGAAAUAAUGCGUGGAGCUCAACCCCAGCUAAGAUAAUUUAUCCCGGGGAAAUCCAGAAACGCGGUUUGAAAAAAAAAAUCAUGUCAAUUUGUAAUUAUUUCAUUGCUAAACACUGAAGUCAAUGUAUGGGAAUUCUCGAAGAGUGCAAUGAGGAGGAUAUGACUUGACUCUACCAUGGCAAGGGGUAAGAGGAAAGGAUUGACUUGAUCGUCCCUGAAAAUGCAGAACAGCCCAUGAGAUCUCUCCCUUCAAACCAAGCGUGUGGAAGAUGCUUGCAAAAGAGCCCUGAAAACAAAACAACUUGAUUGAAGGCAGUUUGUGCAACAAUUGUGUCACGGAAUAACUAACGUUUCUUUAACUUAUUUCCUUUUUGGAUAUGUCAAUAAAUAUCAGCUACGCCAA